AUUGAACGCUGGCGGAAUGCCUAACACAUGCAAGUCGAACGAGGUGUAGCAAUACACCUAGUGGCGGACGGGUGAGGAACACAUAGGAAUCUACCUUUUAGUGGGGGAUAACCCGGGGAAACGUCGGAUUAAUACCGCAUACGAUCUACGGAUGAAAGUGGGGGACCGCAAGGCCUCACGCUGUUAGAUGAGCCUAUGUCCGAUUAGCUAGUUGGUAGGGUAAUGGCCUACCAAGGCGACGAUCGGUAGCUGGUUUGAGAGAACGAUCAGCCACACUGGAACUGAGACACGGUCCAGACUCCUACGGGAGGCAGCAGUGGGGAAUAUUGGACAAUGGGCGCAAGCCUGAUCCAGCAAUUCCGCGUGGGUGAAGAAGGCCUUCGGUUG
Molecule: ribosomal RNA, 387 nt
Filed under: uncultured bacterium
Lineage: Bacteria
Description: bacterial SSU rRNA
Rfam family: Bacterial small subunit ribosomal RNA
Source: RNAcentral